UUAAAAUUAUAUGACCUCCAUUUUUUAUUUUAGGGUAAAGCUAUGAAUGACUAAGUUCUACAUAGGACUAUAUGGCAUCCAAGAAACAUGAAAGACUAACCCAAUAUGUUGUGACCAUUUUGAGCAUAUAGUACAUGCACGUUUCAGUGAAUUCCAGGCGGUCAUACAUCAAGGGAAAGGAAAUCAAAGUUUUGCAGUCUGGCUAAUGAGAGGCUCUCUGAAGGGCAUUCUGUGGAAUGUAUUUCUCUUGGCAGUUGCUCUAGUGGACACAAUUAAAUUCUAAGCAGAUUUCUUUAAUCCUUAGCUCUAACUGGGUCAGCAUCAUCUGAUUUGAAGUGUUAUUACAGGAGACGUGUGUACAGUAAGUAUUGAAAUAGCUGUAACAAUCUAGCCCGGAAAGCUGCCUUUUCUUUGAAAAUGCUCAAAAGACCCAAUUCACAUAAACUAAAAAGUCUCAGGACCACCAGUGCCCACCUGGAAGAAACUCCAGUUUACAAAUCUAAGAGGCUCUAUACUGGCUGGGCCUAAGGAAGCCGUAGUACCAUCUGUCAAGUAUCUGAACUAAGGAAGAGAGGAUCUUAAUUCUGUUUGCCUUUGAGAUCUCCAAAUUGAAAUCACAGGAAACAUGCUUUAUCCAUCUCUGUGUUUAUAAAUAAAUAUUCAUUGCCCAAAUGUGCACUAUAAGGGACAUUUAAAAUGCCCUCCCAUCUUUGCACUGAAUCUUUGAGUCAUGAAGCCAGCUCGCCCAGAGGAGCCCUCCAACCCCUCAGACACUGUCUCCCACAGGCUGCUCGGUAUACCAGCCACUGGGACUUCCCACAGGCAGUGGGCUUAUAAACUGCACACUAUUGCCCUUCUGCAUCCAUCAGAUCUGCCUAUUUGUGAUUUCUGCAAUAAAAAUAGCAGCAUC
Phyllostomus discolor (pale spear-nosed bat) is the source of this 910-nucleotide long non-coding RNA. RefSeq lists it as uncharacterized. The transcript is spliced from 2 exons. The record is from RefSeq and is a predicted model, not a curated record. Lineage: Eukaryota; Metazoa; Chordata; Mammalia; Chiroptera; Phyllostomidae.